Molecule: ribosomal RNA, 372 nt
Filed under: uncultured organism
Description: bacterial SSU rRNA
Rfam family: Bacterial small subunit ribosomal RNA
Source: RNAcentral
CGAGUGCCCCGAGCGUUAUCCGGAAUUAUUGGGCGUAAAGGGUGUGUAGGCGGUAGUGUUAGUCUUUUGUUAAAUUCUUCGGCUUAACCGGGGGCAUGCAGAAGAAACGGCACAACUAGAGGAUGCGAGAGGUGAAUGGAACUCAUGGAGUAGGGGUGAAAUCCGUUGAUAUCAUGGGGAACACCAAAUGCGAAGGCAAUUCACUGGCGCACUCCUGACGCUGAAACACGAAAGCGUAGGUAGCGAAUGGGAUUAGAUACCCCAGUAGUCUACGCCCUAAACGAUGAUGACCGGUUCUUCGGAGUAUCGACCCUCUGAGGGACGAAGCUAACGCGUUAAGUCAUCCGCCUGGGUAGUACGGCCGCAAGGCUA